This 1341-nucleotide ribosomal RNA is filed under the name Nocardia sp. P-13. RNAcentral describes it as "bacterial SSU rRNA". It matches the Rfam family "Bacterial small subunit ribosomal RNA", at positions 28 to 1385 of the family's 1533-position model. Lineage: Bacteria; Bacillati; Actinomycetota; Actinomycetes; Mycobacteriales; Nocardiaceae. The record is from RNAcentral.
GACGAACGCUGGCGGCGUGCUUAACACAUGCAAGUCGAGCGGUAAGGCCCUUCGGGGUACACGAGCGGCGAACGGGUGAGUAACACGUGGGUGAUCUGCCUCGCACUUCGGGAUAAGCCUGGGAAACUGGGUCUAAUACCGGAUAUGACCUGCUGUCGCAUGGCGGUGGGUGGAAAGAUUUAUCGGUGCGAGAUGGGCCCGCGGCCUAUCAGCUUGUUGGUGGGGUAAUGGCCUACCAAGGCGACGACGGGUAGCCGGCCUGAGAGGGCGACCGGCCACACUGGGACUGAGACACGGCCCAGACUCCUACGGGAGGCAGCAGUGGGGAAUAUUGCACAAUGGGCGAAAGCCUGAUGCAGCGACGCCGCGUGAGGGAUGACGGCCUUCGGGUUGUAAACCUCUUUCGACAGGGACGAAGCGUAAGUGACGGUACCUGUAGAAGAAGCACCGGCCAACUACGUGCCAGCAGCCGCGGUAAUACGUAGGGUGCGAGCGUUGUCCGGAAUUACUGGGCGUAAAGAGCUUGUAGGCGGUUUGUCGCGUCGUCCGUGAAAACUUGGGGCUCAACCCCAAGCUUGCGGGCGAUACGGGCAGACUUGAGUACUGCAGGGGAGACUGGAAUUCCUGGUGUAGCGGUGAAAUGCGCAGAUAUCAGGAGGAACACCGGUGGCGAAGGCGGGUCUCUGGGCAGUAACUGACGCUGAGAAGCGAAAGCGUGGGUAGCGAACAGGAUUAGAUACCCUGGUAGUCCACGCCGUAAACGGUGGGUACUAGGUGUGGGUUUCCUUCCACGGGAUCCGUGCCGUAGCUAACGCAUUAAGUACCCCGCCUGGGGAGUACGGCCGCAAGGUUAAAACUCAAAGGAAUUGACGGGGGCCCGCACAAGCGGCGGAGCAUGUGGAUUAAUUCGAUGCAACGCGAAGAACCUUACCUGGGUUUGACAUACACCGGAAACCUGCAGAGAUGUAGGCCCCCUUGUGGUCGGUGUACAGGUGGUGCAUGGCUGUCGUCAGCUCGUGUCGUGAGAUGUUGGGUUAAGUCCCGCAACGAGCGCAACCCUUAUCUUAUGUUGCCAGCGCGUAAUGGCGGGGACUCGUGAGAGACUGCCGGGGUCAACUCGGAGGAAGGUGGGGACGACGUCAAGUCAUCAUGCCCCUUAUGUCCAGGGCUUCACACAUGCUACAAUGGCCGGUACAGAGGGCUGCGAUACCGUGAGGUGGAGCGAAUCCCUUAAAGCCGGUCUCAGUUCGGAUCGGGGUCUGCAACUCGACCCCGUGAAGUUGGAGUCGCUAGUAAUCGCAGAUCAGCAACGCUGCGGUGAAUACGUUCCCGGGCCUUGUA